UACGGAGGGGGCGAGCGUUAUUCGGAAUUAUUGGGCGUAAAGGGCGCGUAGGCGGCCAACUAAGUCAGACGUGAAAUCCCUCGGCUCAACCGGGGAACUGCGUCUGAUACUGGAUGGCUUGAAUUCGGGAGAGGGAUGCGGAAUUCCAGGUGUAGCGGUGAAAUGCGUAGAUAUCUGGAGGAACACCGGUGGCGAAGGCGGCUCACUGGCCCGAUACUGACGCUGAGGCACGAAAGCGUGGGGAGCAAACAGG
Molecule: ribosomal RNA, 253 nt
Filed under: uncultured bacterium
Lineage: Bacteria
Description: partial 16S ribosomal RNA
Rfam family: Bacterial small subunit ribosomal RNA
Source: RNAcentral